AUAAACGCUGGCGGCGUGCUUAACACAUGCAAGUCGAACGAAGUUUUUCCUUCGGGAGAAACUUAGUGGCGGACGGGUGAGUAACGCGUGGGUAACCUGCCCUGUACAGGGGGACAACAGCUGGAAACGGCUGCUAAUACCGCAUAAGCCCUUAGCACUGCAUGGUGCAUAGGGAAAAGGAGCAAUCCGGUACAGGAUGGACCCGCGUCUGAUUAGCCAGUUGGCAGGGUAACGGCCUACCAAAGCGACGAUCAGUAGCCGAUCUGAGAGGAUGUACGGCCACAUUGGGACUGAGACACGGCCCAGACUCCUACGGGAGGCAGCAGUGGGGAAUAUUGCACAAUGGAGGAAACUCUGAUGCAGCGACGCCGCGUGAGUGAAGAAGUAUUUCGGUAUGUAAAGCUCUAUCAGCAGGGAAGAAAAUGACGGUACCUGACGAAGAAGCACCGGCUAAAUACGUG
This 461-nucleotide ribosomal RNA is filed under the name uncultured bacterium. RNAcentral's name for it is "partial 16S ribosomal RNA". It matches the Rfam family "Bacterial small subunit ribosomal RNA", at positions 29 to 507 of the family's 1533-position model. The record is from RNAcentral.